RNAcentral lists this ribosomal RNA (270 nucleotides) under uncultured prokaryote. RNAcentral's name for it is "partial 16S ribosomal RNA". It matches the Rfam family "Bacterial small subunit ribosomal RNA", at positions 524 to 794 of the family's 1533-position model. The record is from RNAcentral.
UACAGAGGUGGCGAGCGUUGUUCGGAUUUACUGGGCGUAAAGGGUGCGUAGGCGGUCUUUCAAGCCAGAAGUGAAAGGCUACGGCUCAACCGUAGUAAGCUUUUGGAACUGUAAGACUUGAGUGCAGGAGAGGAGAGUGGAAUUCCUAGUGUAGCGGUGAAAUGCGUAGAUAUUAGGAGGAACACCAGUAGCGAAGGCGGCUCUCUGGACUGUAACUGACGCUGAGGCACGAAAGCGUGGGGAGCAAACAGGAUUAGAUACCCGCGUAGU